This 497-nucleotide ribosomal RNA is filed under the name uncultured bacterium. RNAcentral's name for it is "partial 16S ribosomal RNA". It matches the Rfam family "Bacterial small subunit ribosomal RNA", at positions 28 to 507 of the family's 1533-position model. The record is from RNAcentral.
GAUGAACGCUGGCGGCGUGCCUAAUACAUGCAAGUCGAGCGAACAGAUGAGGAGCUUGCUCCUCUGACGUUAGCGGCGGACGGGUGAGUAACACGUGGAUAACCUACCUAUAAGACUGGGAUAACUUCGGGAAACCUGAUCUAAUACCGGAUAAUAUAUUGAACCGCAUGGUUCAAUAGUGAAAGACGGUUUUGCUGUCACUUAUAGAUGUAUCCGCGCCGCAUUAGCUAGUUGGUAAGGUAACGGCUUACCAAGGCGACGAUGCGUAGCCGACCUGAGAGGAUGAUCGGCCACACUGGAACUGAGACACGGUCCAGACUCCUACGGGAGGCAGCAGUAGGGAAUAUUGCGCAAUGGGCGAAAGCCUGACGGAGCAACGCCGCGUGAGUGAUGAAGGUCUUCGGAUCGUAAAACUCUGUUAUUAGGGAAGAACAAAAGUGUAAGUAAAUAUGCACGUCUUGACGGUACCUAAUCAGAAAGCCACGGCUAACUACGUG